CAGCCGCCGCGGUAAUACGUAGGUGGCAAGCGUUGUCCGGAAUUAUUGGGCGUAAAGCGCGCGCAGGUGGUUUAAUAAGUCUGAUGUGAAAGCCCACGGCUCAACCGUGGAGGGUCAUUGGAAACUGUUAAACUUGAGUGCAGGAGAGAAAAGUGGAAUUCCUAGUGUAGCGGUGAAAUGCGUAGAGAUUAGGAGGAACACCAGUGGCGAAGGCGGCUUUUUGGCCUGUAACUGACACUGAAGCGCGAAAGCGUGGGGAGCAAACAGGAUUAGAUACCCCAGUAGUCCCUGUCUCUUAUAC
Molecule: ribosomal RNA, 301 nt
Filed under: uncultured bacterium
Lineage: Bacteria
Description: partial 16S ribosomal RNA
Rfam family: Bacterial small subunit ribosomal RNA
Source: RNAcentral